Molecule: ribosomal RNA, 440 nt
Filed under: uncultured bacterium
Lineage: Bacteria
Description: partial 16S ribosomal RNA
Rfam family: Bacterial small subunit ribosomal RNA
Source: RNAcentral
ACUACGGGAGGCAGCAGUGGGGGAUAUUGCACAAUGGGGGGAACCCUGAUGCAGCGACGCCGCGUGGGUGAAGAAGCGCCUCGGCGCGUAAAGCCCUGUCAGCAGGGAAGAAAAUGACGGUACCUGAAGAAGAAGCCACGGCUAACGGCGUGCCAGCAGCCGCGGUAAUACGUAGGGGGGAAGCGGUAUCCGGAUUUACUGGGUGAAAAGGGGGCGCAGACGGCGAUGCAAGCCAGGAGUGAAAGCCCGGGGCCCAACCCCGGGACUGCUCUUGGAACUGGGUGGCUGGAGUGCAGGAGGGGCGGGCGGAAUUCCUGGUGUAGCGGUGAAAUGCGUAGAUAUCAGGAGGAACACCGGUGGCGAAGGCGGCCUGCUGGACUGCAACUGACGUUGAGGCCCGAAAGCGUGGGGAGCAAACAGGAUUAGAUACCCCAGUAGUC